RNAcentral lists this non-coding RNA (204 nucleotides) under Oscillospiraceae bacterium. Its description in RNAcentral is "6S RNA". It matches the Rfam family "6S / SsrS RNA". From Rfam's summary of the family: E. coli 6S RNA was the first non coding RNA to be sequenced, but its function was unknown until recently. The record is from RNAcentral. Lineage: Bacteria; Bacillati; Bacillota; Clostridia; Eubacteriales; Oscillospiraceae.
UUUUCCCUGCUAUGUACGUGAUUUGUAACGCAAUUCAAAACCAUUGACGAAUUAAAGGGACUUCGACUUCUGCAAAGGGUUUGCAGACCUCCCGGCCUAUCAUUUUGGAUAGGUUGGACGAAGGGAGCGCGAGUUUGUGGAGAGAUAACCCACCUGUGAGAGCAGGUUUCGGAUUUGUUACUUACACGGCUGUGUGGGGAUUUU